RNAcentral lists this ribosomal RNA (395 nucleotides) under uncultured bacterium. RNAcentral describes it as "partial 16S ribosomal RNA". It matches the Rfam family "Bacterial small subunit ribosomal RNA", at positions 523 to 917 of the family's 1533-position model. The record is from RNAcentral.
AUACGUAGGUGGCAAGCGUUGUCCGGAAUUAUUGGGCGUAAAGCGCAUGUAGGCGGUUUGGUAAGUCGGUCGUGAAAAUGCGGUGCUUAACGCCGUAUGGCGAUCGAAACUGCUGAACUUGAGUGCAGGAGAGGAAAGGGGAACUCCCGGUGUAGCGGUGAAAUGCGUAGAGAUCGGGAGGAACACCAGUGGCGAAGGCGGCCUGCUGGACAUUAACUGACGCUGAGGCGCGAAAGCGUGGGGAGCAAACAGGAUUAGAUACCCUGGUAGUCCACGCUGUAAACGAUGGAUACUAGGUGUGGGGGGUACUGACCCCCUCCGUGCCGCAGUUAACACAAUAAGUAUUCCGCCUGGGGAGUACGGCCGAAAGGUUGAAACUCAAAUGAAUUGACGGG